Molecule: non-coding RNA, 214 nt
Organism: Cricetulus griseus (Chinese hamster)
Lineage: Eukaryota; Metazoa; Chordata; Mammalia; Rodentia; Cricetidae
Source: RefSeq, a predicted model, not a curated record
ACUCAGAUUAAGAGAGCUGAGCAUCUCAGGGCCCAUUAUCUCUUGAAUCCGAAGGACUAAAUUGGGAGAUCAAAGGUGGAUUUGCCCCAUUUGUACAAACCAUUCACUCUUGCAAGAACUUUAGAAGAAACCUAACAAGUCCCAGAGGCAAAACACAGACUUAUCGAGGACGCCUGUGGAAUGCGUCAUCUUCCCAGGAUCACAUGACAGCUCC